Molecule: ribosomal RNA, 253 nt
Filed under: uncultured bacterium
Lineage: Bacteria
Description: partial 16S ribosomal RNA
Rfam family: Bacterial small subunit ribosomal RNA
Source: RNAcentral
UACGAAGGGGGCUAGCGUUGCUCGGAAUCAUUGGGCGUAAAGCGCGUGUAGGCGGCUCGGUAAGUCUGCUGUGAAAGUCCAGGGCUCAACCCUGGGAUGCCGGUGGAUACUGUCGAGCUCGAGUCCGGAAGAGGCGAGUGGAAUUCCUGGUGUAGCGGUGAAAUGCGCAGAUAUCAGGAGGAACACCAAUGGCGAAGGCAGCUCGCUGGGACGUGACUGACGCUGAGACGCGAAAGCGUGGGGAGCAAACAGG